GACGAACGCUGGCGGCGUGCUUAACACAUGCAAGUCGAACGGUGAAGCGCCUUCCUUUUUGGUGGGUGUGGAUGAGUGGCGAACGGGUGAGUAACACGUGAGUAACCUGCCCCCUUCUUCUGGAUAACCGCAUGAAAGUGUGGCUAAUACGGGAUAUUCUGGGUCUGUCGCAUGAUGGGUCUGGGAAAGAUAUUGUUUCGGUGGGGGAUGGGCUCGCGGCCUAUCAGCUUGUUGGUGGGGUGAUGGCCUACCAAGGCGGUGACGGGUAGCCGGCCUGAGAGGGUGGACGGUCACACUGGGAAUGAGACACGGCCCAGACUCCUACGGGAGGCAGCAGUGGGGAAUAGUGCACAAUGGGCGCAAGCCUGAUGCAGCGACGCCGCGUGAGGGAUGGAGGCCUUCGGGUUGUGAACCUCUUUCGCCAGUGAAGCAGGCCUGCCUCGUUUGUGGGUGGGUUGACGGUAGCUGGAUAAGAAGCGCUGGCUAACUACGUG
RNAcentral lists this ribosomal RNA (494 nucleotides) under uncultured bacterium. Its description in RNAcentral is "partial 16S ribosomal RNA". It matches the Rfam family "Bacterial small subunit ribosomal RNA", at positions 28 to 507 of the family's 1533-position model. The record is from RNAcentral.